CAGUAGCCGCGGUAAUACGGAGGGAGCUAGCGUUAUUCGGAAUUACUGGGCGUAAAGCGCACGUAGGCGGCUUUGUAAGUAAGAGGUGAAAGCCCAGAGCUCAACUCUGGAAUUGCCUUUUAGACUGCAUCGCUUGAAUCAUGGAGAGGUCAGUGGAAUUCCGAGUGUAGAGGUGAAAUUCGUAGAUAUUCGGAAGAACGCCAGUGGCGAAGGCGGCUGACUGGACAUGUAUUGACGCUGAGGUGCGAAAGCGUGGGGAGCAAACAGGAUUAGAUACCCCCGUAGUCCCUGUCUCUUAUAC
This 301-nucleotide ribosomal RNA is filed under the name uncultured bacterium. Its description in RNAcentral is "partial 16S ribosomal RNA". It matches the Rfam family "Bacterial small subunit ribosomal RNA", at positions 509 to 807 of the family's 1533-position model. The record is from RNAcentral.